UGGGAAGGCUUCUUGCUUAGAUGAGUGUUCCUGCUCGGAAAACACACUAGACUUUGUUAAUGUUGAACGUAAAUGAGUUAGAGCACUCAUUUGGGCAAGAAGUCUUCCAA
Molecule: microRNA precursor, 110 nt
Filed under: Asparagus officinalis (garden asparagus)
Lineage: Eukaryota; Viridiplantae; Streptophyta; Magnoliopsida; Asparagales; Asparagaceae
Description: miR828 stem-loop (aof-MIR828)
Gene: aof-MIR828
Source: miRBase by way of RNAcentral